Molecule: unclassified non-coding RNA, 317 nt
Filed under: uncultured fungus
Lineage: Eukaryota; Fungi
Description: partial contains 5.8S ribosomal RNA and internal transcribed spacer 2
Rfam family: 5.8S ribosomal RNA (bases 1-133)
Source: RNAcentral
UGGCUCUAGCAUCGAUGAAGAACGCAGCGAAACGCGAUAGCUAAUGUGAAUUGCAGAAUUCAGUGAAUCAUCGAAUUUUUGAACGCAUAUUGCGCCCGCUGGUAUCCCAGCGGGCAUGCCCGUUCGAGCGUCAUUUCAACCCUCAGGUUUUGGCCUGGUAUUGGAGAUCUAUAAUUAUAGGCUCCCAAGUCAAGCGGGAGAGCCUGUUGUUUUAACCGAGUGCAGUAAACCACUAUCACUCAGGGGAACAGCAAGGUGCUACCAAAAGUGCUAUUUUUCAUUAAAUUGACCUCGGAUCGGGUAGGGAUACCCGCUGA